CACACCAUGGGAGCUGACUGUACCAGAAGUCGGUGAGCUAACUUCAGGUUUCGGCUUGGGGAGGCAGCCGCCUAAGGUAUGGUUGGUGACUGGGGUG
RNAcentral lists this ribosomal RNA (97 nucleotides) under uncultured bacterium. RNAcentral describes it as "partial 16S ribosomal RNA". The record is from RNAcentral.